This 253-nucleotide ribosomal RNA is filed under the name uncultured bacterium. RNAcentral describes it as "partial 16S ribosomal RNA". It matches the Rfam family "Bacterial small subunit ribosomal RNA", at positions 524 to 776 of the family's 1533-position model. The record is from RNAcentral.
UACGUAGGGGGCUAGCGUUGUCCGGAAUCAUUGGGCGUAAAGAGCGUGUAGGCGGCCCGGUAAGUCCGCUGUGAAAGUCGGGGGCUCAACCCUCGAAUGCCGGUGGAUACUGUCGGGCUAGAGUGCGGAAGAGGCGAGUGGAAUUCCUGGUGUAGCGGUGAAAUGCGCAGAUAUAAGGAGGAACACCGAUUGCGAAGGCAGCUCGCUGGGACGUCACUGACGCUGAGACGCGAAAGCGUGGGGAGCAAACAGG